GGUCUUACCAGUGAUUUAUAAAGAGGCAAAAUUAUAUUCUUGUCCCGAGAAUGAAUGCCCUUUUUCAUGCAUGACAAUACCUUACUGGCCUUGGCCACUGCUGAUUGACAUUGCACAUUGUUGCAUAGUUUGUUGUCUAUGACAAUUCCCAAGUCCUUUUCAUGUGUUGUUAUCCCUAAUUCGCUUCCAUUAAGGGUAUACGUUGCUUGUGUAUUCUUUACGCCGAAGUGCAUAACUUUGCAUUUUUCAACAUUAAAUUUCAUCUGCCAUUUGAG
Molecule: long non-coding RNA, 275 nt
Filed under: Pelobates cultripes (western spadefoot toad)
Lineage: Eukaryota; Metazoa; Chordata; Amphibia; Anura; Pelobatidae
Source: RNAcentral